GCAACCUCAUGGUUCCUAGUCACAUUCGUUAACCACUGACCCACGACGGGAACUCCUCAAGGACUUUUUAUCAGAGGGGACCCACAAGUUAUCCAAGAGAGUGGGGUAGCUCCUUGAGCAUGGUCAUGAAGGAGAGAGAGCCCUUCCAAGGGCAGCGGUGAGAAGAGCAUAACAGAUGACUGGGGUGCCCACGAGCUAUGGGGUCCCACAAACAAACAACCUGGCAGCCCCUACACCUGUAAUUUUACUUUAUGAGAAGUGGAGAUCCUGAGAGCAGCCCCAAGAGCACAGGCCACAACGACCAGUGCUGUAUGGUGUGGCAGUGGGGCCCCAGCUGAGGUGUCACACACAUUCACACAGCAGCAUGAGUGGCUCCCAUCAUCAGCCCUGAGGUAUACACAUAUACACAGCAAGGUCCUGCUUCUUCCGAAUUACUGGAGAAAACUGAAAUCAGCCAGGUGAUAGGAGAGAACAGGCACUCACACAGAGCCAGGAAGACUUUGAUUAAGGGACCACAUGUAAGGGACAGUAGGGACAUGUAAGUCAAGUUCAUUCAGGCUGUCUUAGUCCAUGGCUGGUCUUCUCAGGUCCAGACUCUUAGAAUUUGUCUUGGCGAAGCUUGGGGAGCAGAAGCCUGGGGUAACUCACAGCCCAAGAAUCCUCUGGCUAAAGGCUGUGCUUGGUCCUUGUGAAGGGCCCUUGUCUGUAUUUAGAAGAGCUUUAUUACACUGAAGUAACUUAAAGGAAAUAUGCCGAGUAUAGUAACUGUGAUACUUACGGCAUUUUCUGACUUAGUGCCCAGAAAACCAAUAAUCUAGGAAGACAAAUUUUUAUGUCUUUUUCCUUAAGUUCUUACAGACAUCUUCAAGAAGAGAGCUGUUUGGUUAUUCUGAUUCCAGAAUAAGAGAAUUGGAGCAGAAAGUUAAAGUAAGACUCUGACGGAGGGGAGGGAUGGGAAUGGGCUAAAUUUCAGAAAAUCCUUCAUGGGCAAAGUCAGAAGGUUUCAACAUGUAAGGUCACCUGUAAGUUGGCUUGGAGAUAGAGGAAUGGGUUUGGUGACUGAGGCAUUCUUCAUUCUACGUCUAAGGCCAGAUCUGAAGGUAUAGCAUGAGUAUAGCCAUAGUGGGACUACCAACCAAGUUCAUUGGGUACUGAUUCUACUGCCCACACAGUGCCAAAGGCUCUUCAUGCUGAAUCCUUCCCCUAAUAUGUCCAGGAGGCUGUGUCCUAAUAUGUCCAUCAAUGCCUACUACUUAGCAUCCAUCCUCUGUGGACCAAACCUGUACUCAUGUUCCAGCAUUCGAGUGUGGUCCAUACUGCAAAGCCCAAGGGGAGAACAUGUGAUAUCGCCUGGCCAAUCACAGUAUGCCAACCCUUUCCUGCCACGGUGUCUGGUUUAGGGCUUGAGUCAUGAUACAAGGCCAGCCAAUCAGACUCCUGACUGGAACUUUUUUUCUUUUUGUCAUAUUGGGGAAAGCAUUUUCAUCUGUUGGGAUGGUGAGCAGUCAGGAUUCUGUGAGCCGCAGCUACUGGGAGCCAUCCUGCAAGGCUGUGUGGAAGAGGCCAACAUGUUAAGAGGAAGAAGGAGAGGGAAGUGUAAGAAUGCUAUAUUAGCUGUUCUUGAAGCCAGAUCCACCCUUAGACGCUGCAGCUUCUUUAGCCAGUGCAAGUUGGGCUUUUACAACCCAGAGUUGGGACUAAUAGUCUGUUUUAUUCCUAGCCCCAUUUUUUUUUCAAAUAAGAUUAAGUAACUUAUCCAAAGUCACACUGUGAGUAAGUGAAGAGGUGUAAUUCUAAUGCCAAUUGGUCAUGAUCAAAACCACGUAUCAAAUUAUCAUAUACAACCAUAUCAUAUACAAGGACACAUCAGCCAGUUGUGUCACCCACUCCCCACUCCACCUGGGGCAACUGGGUGCAAUACAGUUUUCCAGAAGCUAAAGAACAGAGGCACUAUUCAGCAAGAGUCAGCUUUUGUGGGGUUAAAAAUUGUCAGAGAGAGAUGUCACGCCCAACUUUUUGGAGUCCAGUGACUUCAGGAGAGAACAAGCAAGCUCCACUGUACAGAGUGAGGGUAGGAUGGGGAAAGAAAAUUCAUUUCUUUCCCCAGAUGGCAGUCUUGAUUGGAAAAGGGCCCACUACCCCAGGCACUAUCAAAUCUGCAUUGCUUCCUUUUAAAUUCCCUUCAUCUGCAGCCAUUAAAGAAGUUACCCCCAAAGAAGCCAGGAGUUUAUUAAUGUGUUUCAUCAGAGAGAGUCAGCCACUUCACAUUAUACCAAGAUAGAUUAUGUGGGCAAAUGAGAGAUCCAGAAAACAUCUGCUAAACAAAAUCAAAAUUAAUGGUAAACAGAAUGCAAUUCUUGAUAGCUGAAGUUCACCCAGAUGCACAGAACUAUAAAGGGGCGAUUAGAGGCAGCUGCCAAUUAAGGGACUAAUUCCAAGGGUUUUCACAAAGUGAGGCUCUAGUUACACAGUCAGGACUGGCAGGUUAUGUUUAUAUAGAAGAUUUGCAUUGCUAAGCAGCCAGAGCCACCCUGGCUGUGUGACUGUCACGCUCCUCUCCUUUUCCACGAAGACAGCAGCAUCUCUCCGCCCAGGUCUCCUUCACAGCCCUGCCGGAAGCCAGCCAGGCUGGUCUAGACCAGAAUGUGUGAGUGAGCCAUCGCUGGGAGGGUGGGUAAUGCAACAUGACACUGGUGCCCACCCCCAAACCCAUAGCCUCUAAUCAGAGCACAAUCACAGACAUCUGGAAUAGCGUAUGGAUAACCCCAUGCUGUAAGGGAUGGCUGACAAGGGCUGACUUAUCCCGGCUGCUUGCUCAGCUCACUCAAGUGUUCUCUCAUGGCUGUAAUUCGAUGUGAUGGCAUCAGUUAGAGAAAAGUACUGGUCUGAGGAGAUGAAUUCUGGCAGUCAUGAUCAGCAUUGGCUCUCAGAGGGGACAAGGGAGUGUCUCAGAGAGGUGAGGUUGGCACCUUUCGCUGAAGCUUCAGGAAAAGUUGAAAUUAAAUUGUAGGUGUCUAGGGGAGGUGUAAAAACACCUGCAUUAGAAAGCAGAUGAAGAAGCAGCCAUCUCUCCUUCACCAUGCAGCUGGCAGAGGUGGGCCCCAAGGUAGGAGCAUAACAUAGGACUGCUCUGAAGGUGGAAGCAGGUCUCGCUGGGGUAGGUACACCCUUCCCCAAAGACAUCCUGCCAGUCUUGCGGUCCUGUCACAACCUCUGACACUCUCUCCCUCCAGGUUUCCCUGAGAGUCCUUACCAUAAAUCCAAAUGAGAAACAAAGCUUUCUUCCAAGAGUCCCUCUCAGCUCUCUGGGCUUGGCAGUGGCCAUGUAUGUUUAGAAAUCCUUGGAUGAUGAAGCGAUAUCAAGCCAUGGAAGCUCCCUUCCCCCUCCCAUUAGAGAUCAGUUCCAUGCAUUAGAUGGACAUGGGCCCAGAGGGACUUUAUUCCUAUUAAAAUUAGCACAGAAAGGAAGGAGUCUUGUCUAAGGUGCUAUCUGCUCCGCUCAUAUCACUCGUUACUGAGUCUAGGGAGGUAAAGAACAUGAAAGCUCUCUGAAAACUUCACAACAACCAAGAUGUAAUUAUCUUUAUAACUAUGGCCCCAUUCUCUCCAUGCACUGUCCUUGGAAGACAGGUGCUGGUGCUGGGGCACAUCCUGGGCUCUGACGAAGCUGUCCCUCUUCAUGGACGCUCUAGAGCAGGGCUUGCAGAGGGCACUACAUGAAAUGCCAACUCAGAGAUGAUUAAAAGCAACAAAUCAAGAUGCCAUGAGAAACUAAGUUAGGGAAAUGCUGCGUAUUACACCCCCUUUUGAAAGUUCUAUUUUGCAUCUUAAAGACCUGAGAGGAUCUGCAAUAAAAAUGACAAGCUUGAGAUUGAGUCCAGUAUUUACUAAGUGCAUUAUUUUUCUAGGGAUACUUUAAUAAAGUUCCACAACCUGAGUGGUUUAACAAGAGAAAUCUGUUCUCUCCCAGCUCUGGAGGCUGGAAGUCAGAAAUCAAAGUGGUGGCCUGGCCAUGCUCCCUCUGAAGGCUCUAGGAGAAGACUCUUUUUCGCUUCUUUCAAGUUUAUGGUGAUUGUCAGCAAUCCUUGGUGUUCCUUGGCUUACAGACUCAUCACUCCAAUCUGUACCUUCAUCAAA
This 4137-nucleotide long non-coding RNA is filed under the name Sus scrofa (pig). Its description in RNAcentral is "lncRNA (ENSSSCG00055009111.1)". Lineage: Eukaryota; Metazoa; Chordata; Mammalia; Artiodactyla; Suidae. The record is from RNAcentral.